RNAcentral lists this ribosomal RNA (581 nucleotides) under Nitzschia inconspicua. RNAcentral's name for it is "partial large subunit ribosomal RNA". Lineage: Eukaryota; Bacillariophyta; Bacillariophyceae; Bacillariales; Bacillariaceae. The record is from RNAcentral.
AAUUAAGCAUAUAAUUAAGCGGAGGAAAAGAAACUAACCAGGAUUCCCCCAGUAAGGGCGACUGAAGCGGGAAGAGCUCAGGAUGUGAAUCUGUGCUUUCCUAAGGAGGCACCGAAUUGUGGUCUGUAGACUUGUGACGUUAUCCUUCCGGGCCAAGUUCAUUGGAAAAUGGCAGCAGAGAGGGUGACACUCCCGUCCGCCUGUUGGMACGAGUCACUUGUCGACGAGUCGAGUUGUUUGGGAUUGCAGCUCUAAUUGGGUGGUAAAUUCCAUCUAAAGCUAAAUAUUGGUGGGAGACCGAUAGCGUACAAGUACCGUGAGGGAAAGAUGCAAAGAACUUUGAAAAGAGAGUUAAAGAGUACCUGAAAUUGCUGAAACGGAAGCGAAGGAAACCAGUGUCUGACGCGAUCAUACUUCCCUUGCCACUUGUGGUCUGGGCGCUGUGGUUGCGUCAUGUGUCCCCCUUGGUUGUGUCCUGUGGAAGAGCGCUGUCAGAGUUGAUGACGGUUGCUAGCAUUGGACGUGACUGAGGGUGACGAAAUGGUUUUCUUUACCCCGUCUUGAAACACGGGAACCAAGGA